RNAcentral lists this ribosomal RNA (466 nucleotides) under uncultured bacterium. RNAcentral's name for it is "partial 16S ribosomal RNA". It matches the Rfam family "Bacterial small subunit ribosomal RNA", at positions 28 to 507 of the family's 1533-position model. The record is from RNAcentral.
GAUGAACGCUGGCGGCGUGCUUAACACAUGCAAGUCGAACGAUGAAGCCCAGCUUGCUGGGUGGAUUAGUGGCGAACGGGUGAGUAACACGUGAGUAACCUGCCCUUAACUCUGGGAUAAGCCCGGGAAACUGGGUCUAACACCGGAUAGGAGCGCCUACCGCAUGGGGGGUGUUGGAAAGAUUUAUCGGUUUUGGAUGGACUAGGGGCCUAUCAGCUUGUAGGUCAGGUAGUGGCUCACCAAGGGGACGACGGGUAGGCGGCCUGAGAGGGUGGCAAGCCACACUAGGACUGAGACACGGCCCAGACUCCUACGGGACGCAGCAGUGGAGAAUAUUGCACAGUAGGCGAGAGCCUGGUGCGAAGACGCAGCGUGAGGAAUGACGGGCUUCGGGUUGUAAACCUCUUUCAAUAGGGAAGGAGCGAAAGUGACGGUACCUGCAGAAGAAGCACCGGCUAACUACGUG